RNAcentral lists this ribosomal RNA (253 nucleotides) under uncultured bacterium. Its description in RNAcentral is "partial 16S ribosomal RNA". It matches the Rfam family "Bacterial small subunit ribosomal RNA", at positions 524 to 776 of the family's 1533-position model. The record is from RNAcentral.
UACGUAGGUGGCUAGCGUUGUCCGGAUUUACUGGGCGUAAAGAGCGCGCAGGCGGUCGUUCAAGUCGAGUGUGAAAGCCCCCGGCUCAACUGGGGAGGGUCACUCGAUACUGAUCGACUCGAAGGCAGGAGAGGGAAGUGGAAUUCCCGGUGUAGUGGUGAAAUGCGUAGAUAUCGGGAGGAACACCAAUUGCGAAGGCAGCUCGCUGGGACGGUACUGACGCUGAGGCGCGAAAGCGUGGGGAGCAAACAGG